This 621-nucleotide long non-coding RNA is filed under the name Daucus carota (carrot). RNAcentral's name for it is "long non-coding RNA (DCAR_LNC004434)". Lineage: Eukaryota; Viridiplantae; Streptophyta; Magnoliopsida; Apiales; Apiaceae. The record is from RNAcentral.
GUUGAUGUGAAAACAUGUUUAGUCAUCGGCAAUUUGAUUGUUCACGGCGGCGUUGCGUUGUUGUUUUCAAGUAAGCUAGCUCUCUUUCGCUUGAUUGUACAUAUCAUAUGAGUUGGGCUUGUUGCAUUGCAUUGUGCGUUUAUGUGAAAACAUGUCUAGUCAUCGGCAAUUUUAUUUAACUUUCUUUAUUCCUGUUAAUGGUUUCAUUCUCUAUCGUGACUGUGGCCCUCUAAUUAUAGAUCACCUUAAGCAUGAAGAUCGGAGUCGGCGAUGAAAUUAUUGUGGAGCUUAUGUGAAUGUGUAUUUUAUCAAUAGUUUCUAUCAUAUUACCAUUUCAUAGGUUACUUAUUGUCUGCUUUAUUGUUAGCAAGUCAUCUUCUUAAUUCUAGCUGCAGACUGCCAAGUCCAUCAUUGGCUAGGGGUAAUGGGCAUUUUUUGUUUUUCUUAUAAAGGUGGAACGAUUAGGGUAUAGGGAGUAACUCUGAGCCAGAUGGAGUGAUGCAGGGAGCUUGGUGUACUCAAAUGGUAUCGGCCCUUUUAGUCGGUGAACAGGCAAGUGUCUAAGAGAUGGAUUUGUGGAGUGUUAGUGACAAAACUAUCCUCAUAUGUAAUUCUAUGGUG